UCGGUAGGCGGUCCGGUAAGUGCUUGGUGAAAUCCUGCGGCUUAACCGCAGAACGUUCAGGUAGACUGUCGGACUUGAGGACCGGAGGGGCAGGUGGAAUUCCCGGUGUAAGGGUGAAAUCUGCAGAGAUCGGGAGGAACACCAGUGGCGAAGGCGGCCUGCUAGACGGUCCCUGACGCUGAGCGACGAAAGCGUGGGGAGCAAACA
This 207-nucleotide ribosomal RNA is filed under the name uncultured bacterium. RNAcentral's name for it is "partial 16S ribosomal RNA". It matches the Rfam family "Bacterial small subunit ribosomal RNA", at positions 568 to 774 of the family's 1533-position model. The record is from RNAcentral.